UACGUAGGGGGCAAGCGUUGUCCGGAAUCAUUGGGCGUAAAGCGCGUGUAGGCGGCCAGAAAAGUCCGCUGUGAAAACUCGAGGCUCAACUUCGAGCUGUCGGUGGAAACUUUCUGGCUAGAGUCCGGAAGAGGAGAAUGGAAUUCCUGGUGUAGCGGUGAAAUGCGCAGAUAUCAGGAAGAACACCCGUGGCGAAGGCGGUUCUCUGGGACGGUACUGACGCUGAGACGCGAAAGCGCGGGGAGCAAACAGG
Molecule: ribosomal RNA, 253 nt
Filed under: uncultured bacterium
Lineage: Bacteria
Description: partial 16S ribosomal RNA
Rfam family: Bacterial small subunit ribosomal RNA
Source: RNAcentral